GGCGUUGAGCUAACCAGUACUAAUUGCCCGUGAGGCUUGACCAUAUAACACCCAAACA
This 58-nucleotide ribosomal RNA is filed under the name Pseudomonas aeruginosa. RNAcentral's name for it is "partial 23S ribosomal RNA". The record is from RNAcentral. Lineage: Bacteria; Pseudomonadati; Pseudomonadota; Gammaproteobacteria; Pseudomonadales; Pseudomonadaceae.